Molecule: ribosomal RNA, 1346 nt
Filed under: uncultured bacterium
Lineage: Bacteria
Description: bacterial SSU rRNA
Rfam family: Bacterial small subunit ribosomal RNA
Source: RNAcentral
GACGAACUCUGGCGGCGCGCCUAACACAUGCAAGUCGAACGAGCAAGAGAGAGCUUGCUUUCUCGAGCGAGUGGCGAACGGGUGAGUAACGCGUGAGGAACCUGCCUCAAAGAGGGGGACAACAGUUGGAAACGUCUGCUAAUACCGCAUAAGCCCACGGGUCGGCAUCGACCAGAGGGAAAAGGAGCAAUCCGCUUUGAGAUGGCCUCGCGUCCGAUUAGCUAGUUGGUGAGGUAACGGCCCACCAAGGCGACGAUCGGUAGCCGGACUGAGAGGUUGAACGGCCACAUUGGGACUGAGACACGGCCCAGACUCCUACGGGAGGCAGCAGUGGGGAAUAUUGCACAAUGGGGGAAACCCUGAUGCAGCGACGCCGCGUGGAGGAAGAAGGUCUUCGGAUUGUAAACUCCUGUUGUUGGGGAAGAUAAUGACGGUACCCAACAAGGAAGUGACGGCUAACUACGUGCCAGCAGCCGCGGUAAAACGUAGGUCACAAGCGUUGUCCGGAAUUACUGGGUGUAAAGGGAGCGCAGGCGGGAAGACAAGUUGGAAGUGAAAUCUAUGGGCUCAACCCAUAAACUGCUUUCAAAACUGUUUUUCUUGAGUAGUGCAGAGGUAGGCGGAAUUCCCGGUGUAGCGGUGGAAUGCGUAGAUAUCGGGAGGAACACCAGUGGCGAAGGCGGCCUACUGGGCACCAACUGACGCUGAGGCUCGAAAGUGUGGGUAGCAAACAAGAUUAGAUACCCUGGUAGUCCACACCGUAAACGAUGAUUACUAGGUGUUGGAGGAUUGACACCUUCAGUGCCGCAGUUAACACAAUAAGUAAUCCACCUGGGGAGUACGACCGCAAGGUUGAAACUCAAAGGAAUUGACGGGGGCCCGCACAAGCAGUGGAGUAUGUGGUUUAAUUCGACGCAACGCGAAGAACCUUACCAAGUCUUGACAUCCCUUGACAGGCAUAGAAAUAUGUUUUCUCUUCGGAGCAAGGAGACAGGUGGUGCAUGGUUGUCGUCAGCUCGUGUCGUGAGAUGUUGGGUUAAGUCCCGCAACGAGCGCAACCCUUAUGGUCAGUUACUACGCAAGAGGACUCUGGCCAGACUGCCGUUGACAAAACGGAGGAAGGUGGGGAUGACGUCAAAUCAUCAUGCCCUUUAUGACUUGGGCUACACACGUACUACAAUGGCGUUAAACAAAGAGAAGCAAGACCGCGAGGUGGAGCAAAACUCAGAAACAACGUCCCAGUUCGGACUGCAGGCUGCAACUCGCCUGCACGAAGUCGGAAUUGCUAGUAAUCGUGGAUCAGCAUGCCACGGUGAAUACGUUCCCGGGCCUUGCACUCACCGCCC